This 892-nucleotide long non-coding RNA is filed under the name Gallus gallus (chicken). Its description in RNAcentral is "lncRNA (ENSGALG00010030030.1)". The record is from RNAcentral. Lineage: Eukaryota; Metazoa; Chordata; Aves; Galliformes; Phasianidae.
CUGAUUCCCUUUCCCCUUUUAAUGAAACAGUUAAAAACACAGCCAAAAAGAUAAAACCAAAGCUUCACUAAAGGGGCACCUGGUGCGUUUUCCAAAUUCCUCACUGUCAGCAAUAAAGGAAAAGCCUUCGAGGCACAGAAACUUCAGGCCUAAAAUACCUGCAGAGCACUCCUCUUGCUGGUUAUUUACACCCUGCAGGAAGCACUGUGAAAAUAAAGCUGUGCAUGGGGCUGUCACAGGCAAUUCGGUUCACUGCAGUAAUGUGGCAUCCUGCUGCCUCAGUGCCAAGGAGUACUUUGGGAGCAUGACUGUAUGGGGCAGGAGUACGGCUUCCCCCCAGAGAGAAGAACACAGAAAUCUUUUGUGAACGAGUGAUUUUAAAUGCAAUGAAAGUUCUACCGGAAGGAUGCAAGCCAAGUUUGGGAAUAUCAGCCCCCAGCUUUGCACAGCAAGUAGAACUCCGAAUUGCUUUACAACCUUACAUAAGCCAAACUGGCAAAACUUCUGCCCAGUUAGUGAAACAGAGGAAAUACGGCCUCUUGGGCGCAGUAUUUGCAGAUAUGGGAGCAUCAGAGCAUGCUGCACAGCACUGACCUUCAAGGAACUGGUGCAGGCGAGGAUUGCUGCAGAUUCUGCUAUUUGCAUACCUGGAAGAAAAGGAUAUUUGGGAUGGAUGUGUCAGCGCUUGGGAGAGCACUUUAUAAGUCAGCUUAGCAAAAUAUAGUUCAGUGGUGAACAGCAUCAAGCAGAUGUAAGAUAAAACAAACCAGGACCGUGUGACUCAGUAAGAAUAUCUCCAGUUUCAGGUAUCUGUGUCAGGUGGCCGGCUGAAAGGACUUUGAGUUUCUUUCCAGGAAGCUGCUGAGCCCACUGUUUGUAAUAUGCUUUUGUG